UACGUAGGGUGCGAGCGUUAAUCGGAAUUACUGGGCGUAAAGCGUGCGCAGGCGGUUCGUUGUGUCGGUGGUGAAAUCCCCGGGCUUAACCUGGGAAUGGCCAUGGAAACUGGCGAACUGGAGUGCGGCAGAGGGGGGUGGAAUUCCGCGUGUAGCAGUGAAAUGCGUAGAUAUCGGGAGGAAUACCGAUGGCGAAGGCAGGUCUCUGGGCUGACACUGACGCUCAUGCACGAAAGCGUGGGGAGCAAACAGG
Molecule: ribosomal RNA, 253 nt
Filed under: uncultured bacterium
Lineage: Bacteria
Description: partial 16S ribosomal RNA
Rfam family: Bacterial small subunit ribosomal RNA
Source: RNAcentral